This 468-nucleotide ribosomal RNA is filed under the name uncultured bacterium. Its description in RNAcentral is "partial 16S ribosomal RNA". It matches the Rfam family "Bacterial small subunit ribosomal RNA", at positions 28 to 507 of the family's 1533-position model. The record is from RNAcentral.
GACGAACGCUGGCGGCGUGCUUAACACAUGCAAGUCGAACGGAAAGGCCCUGCUUUUGUGGGGUGCUCGAUUGGCGAACGGGUGAGUAACACGUGAGUAACCUGCCCUUGACUUUGGGAUAACUUCAGGAAACUGGGGCUAAUACCGGAUAGGAGCUCCUGCUGCAUGGUGGGGGUUGGAAAGUUUCGGCGGUUGGGGCUGGACUCGCGGCUUAUCAGCUUGUUGGUGGGGUAGUGGCUUACCAAGGCUUUGACGGGUAGCCGGCCUGAGAGGGUGACCGGCCACAUUGGGACUGAGAGACGGACCAGACUCCUACGGGAGGCAGCAGUGGGGAAUAUUGCACAAUGGGCGGAAGCCUGAUGCAGCAACGCCGCGUGCGGGAUGACGGCCUUCGGGUUGUAAACCGCUUUCGCCUGUGACGAAGCGUGAGUGACGGUAAUGGGUAAAGAAGCACCGGCUAACUACGUG